This 374-nucleotide unclassified non-coding RNA is filed under the name uncultured Actinomycetes bacterium. RNAcentral describes it as "uncultured actinobacterium contains 16S-23S intergenic spacer region". The record is from RNAcentral. Lineage: Bacteria; Bacillati; Actinomycetota; Actinomycetes.
UCCGAGUUGACCCCGGCAGUCUCCUAUGAGUCCCCACCAUUACGUGCUGGCAACAUAGGACGAGGGUUGCGCUCGUUGCGGGACUUAACCCAACAUCUCACGACACGAGCUGACGACAGCCAUGCACCACCUGUAUACCGACUAAAAGGGGCCCCAUCUCUGGGGCUUUCCGGCAUAUGUCAAACCCAGGUAAGGUUCUUCGCGUUGCAUCGAAUUAAGCCAUAUGCUCCACCGCUUGUGCGGGCCCCCGCCAAUUCCUUUGAGUUUUAAGCUUGCGCUCGUAGUUCCCAGGCGGAUCACUUAAUGCGUUAGCUUCGAUACUAAAAGGUUAUACCUUCCAACAUCUAGUUCUCAUCGUUUACAGCGUGGACUAC